This 507-nucleotide ribosomal RNA is filed under the name uncultured bacterium. Its description in RNAcentral is "partial 16S ribosomal RNA". It matches the Rfam family "Bacterial small subunit ribosomal RNA", at positions 899 to 1397 of the family's 1533-position model. The record is from RNAcentral.
ACUCAAAUGAAUAGACGGGGGCUCACACAAGCGGUGGAGCAUGUGGCUUAAUUCGAGGCUACGCGCAGAACCUUAUCCCGGGCUUGACAUGCACGGAUUAGGGUGCGGAAACGCAUCCGACGCCGCGAGGUGGAACGUGCACAGGUGCUGCAUGGCUGUCGUCAGCUCGUGUCGUGAGAUGUUGGGUUAAGUCCCGCAACGAGCGAAACCCCUGUGGUCAGUUGCCAGCACGUCAUGGUGGGAACUCUGACCAGACUGCCGGCGUGAAGCCGGAGGAAGGCGGGGACGACGUCAAGUCCUCAUGGCCCUUAUGCCCGGGGCUGCACACGUGCUACAAUGGGACGCACAAAGCGCAAACGCCAAGCCGUAAGGCCGAGCCAAUCGCGGAACUCGUCCCCCAGUUCGGAUCGCGGGCUGAAACCCGCCCGCGUGAAGCCGGAAUCGCUAGUAAUCGCGGAUCAGCACGCCGCGGUGAAUUCGUACCUGAGCCUUGUACACACCGCCCGU